GUCUCUGGUGAUGAUUAAAAAUGAAAACUUUCGUUCUUCUGAUGCGCUUUUUCAUGGCGCGGUGGGGAAGCAAUCUGGAGACCUGAACUGAAGAGAC
Small nucleolar RNA from Phragmites australis (common reed), 97 nucleotides. RefSeq annotates it as small nucleolar RNA Z159/U59. NCBI's taxonomy places the organism in Eukaryota, Viridiplantae, Streptophyta, Magnoliopsida, Poales, Poaceae. The record is from RefSeq and is a predicted model, not a curated record. The transcript has a single exon.